GUGCCAGCAGCCGCGGUAAUACGAAAGGUGCAAGCGUUACUCGGAAUCACUGGGCGUAAAGCGCACGUAGGCGGACUCGUAGGUCAAUUGUGAAAUACCUGGGCUCAACCCGGGAACUGCAGUUGAAACCGCUUGUCUUGAAUACCUGAGAGGGUGGGGGAAUACCUGGUGGAGAAGUGAAAUUCGUAGAGAUCAGGUGGAACACCGGAGGCGAAGGCGCCUGCCUGGCAGUGUAUUGACGCUGAGGUGCGAAAGUGCGGGGAGCAAACAGGAUUAGAUACCCUGGUAGUCC
RNAcentral lists this ribosomal RNA (292 nucleotides) under uncultured bacterium. Its description in RNAcentral is "partial 16S ribosomal RNA". It matches the Rfam family "Bacterial small subunit ribosomal RNA", at positions 505 to 796 of the family's 1533-position model. The record is from RNAcentral.